RNAcentral lists this transfer RNA (77 nucleotides) under Dehalococcoidia bacterium. RNAcentral describes it as "tRNA-Ile". It matches the Rfam family "tRNA". Rfam says of the family: Transfer RNA (tRNA) molecules are approximately 80 nucleotides in length. Their secondary structure includes four short double-helical elements and three loops (D, anti-codon, and T loops). RNAcentral also lists the same sequence under 1 other name. The record is from RNAcentral. Lineage: Bacteria; Bacillati; Chloroflexota; Dehalococcoidia.
GGGCAGGUAGUUCAGCUGGUUAGAACAUCGCUCUGAUAAAGCGGAGGUCGCUGGUUCGAGUCCAGCCCUGCCCACCA